Long non-coding RNA from Peromyscus californicus insignis, 1771 nucleotides. RefSeq lists it as uncharacterized. Lineage: Eukaryota; Metazoa; Chordata; Mammalia; Rodentia; Cricetidae. The transcript is spliced from 3 exons. The record is from RefSeq and is a predicted model, not a curated record.
GCUCCUUCAAGAGAACUCACUUCUGCUCCUAGCAGCCGGGAACACGCCUGAUUGCUGAUCCUUAGACACGCAGGGCCAGGGCCAGUCCAGGGGGAUUCACCUCUUUCGAAGCCAGAAGAGGGCAUCACAUCUCCUGGAGCUGGAGUUUCAGACAGCUGUGAGUCCCCACAUGGGUGCUGAAAAUGGAACCUGGGCCCUCUGGAAGAGCAGAAAGUGCCCUUAACUGAUGAAUCAUUCCCUCCAGCUCUUCAAUCAGGAUUUUAAGUUGCAGUCUUGAGUACACAGAAUGAACACGCUGCCUCAAGCACAGCCCCAAGACAAACUGGAAUGCAGGCUCAUGAAGACAGUGAUUGUGUUGUUGUCUGAUGAUACUUGAGGAUCACGUUCCUCUUGUUCCCCUGGUAACCUCCGACCUUGUAGUUCUGUGGCUCCUGAAUCUGUAUAGUCCUACUGGUUUUCAGGGGAGGGUUGGGCUGUCACAGUCCAUAGUCUGGGCAACAAUCACAUGGCCUAGGAGCUUUGAGAUGUCAGCUUUGUGGUUUCUCCUAUCUGGUCGGUAGAAGGAGUGUACCUAGCUCUCAGAAUUGUGAGGAUUACACAAGGUAACACAUGGGCAUUAUGCUGACUUCUGCCAUGAGAAAACAGAAAACUCAAUUUAAUAUGGAGUGAUGAGGAUAUUAAAAAGGAUUUAUUGUUAUGUGACUGGGUGCUUCGUCUUCAUGUAUGUUUAUGUACAAAGUGGCUGCAAUGCCAGAGGAGGCCAGAAGAGGGCACUGGAUCAUAUGGAACUGAAGUCAGGUAGUUGUGAGCCAGAAACCAAACCAGGAUCUUCUGCAAGAACAGCGAGUGCUCUAAACUGUCCAGCCAUUUCUCCUGCCCUGAGAAGGACAGUUUUGACUUGUAAAAUAAGUACAAAAGUACAGAACUGUGCCCUGGGUGCUCCCACAUUGGAUCCUGAGGGAAAAGGUGUGUGCUGUGCUGUGUGCUGAGGUGAGAUAAAAGGUGGGGAUUAUUAGCAAACAGAAGUGUUGAUGGCUUUGUCAAGAGCAGUCUUGGAAAAGCGGUGGGGCAAAUGCCUCAACAGAGUGGGCUCACGCAAGAUGGAUGAGGGGGAGCCCGGAGAGAUGGCUCGGUGGUUAACAGUAUGUACUGCUCUUCCAGAGUUUGAUUCCUAGCACCAUAUUAGAUGACUUGCAACGGCCUAUAACUCAUUUCCAGGGGGUCUGAUGCCUCUGGCCUCUUUGGGCACCUACACUCACAAAGAGUAGCAAUCUUAGGCUCUGGUCUAUCUGGUUGGUUAUUAUUGAAGAGAGAAGGCAAAAGCACCCUGGCCUAAGUACUGCCAUUUUGACCUUAGACUCCGUUACCUGCAGGAUGAAAUACAGUUCAAGUUCCCAAGCCCUAGGGAAGUUGAGAAUUCUCCAAUGGCUGACCAACCUCCUCUUAUAAAGAAUAGUCUUUAUGCAUCUUUAGUUCUCUAGAAAUGUUAUAACUGUUCCCCAAAAUAGAAAGAACAAAUGAAUCUGAUUGGUUGGACUGAAAGGCUUGCAUUAUAGAUUGAUUGACAAUGAUGGAACAUUCAAAGAAGCCCCUAAUCUCUAAAUCCUGAUUGGCUGAAAAUUGUAUCUGUAAUUUGGCAACAAGUGUUUGUGAUUUUUGUGCUUAUAAACCCACUUCUGGCCCUGCUUGGGGCUGUCAGGAGAAACAAGGCUCCCAAGUCCUGAAGCCCUGAUCAAUAUGCCACUUAUGUAUAAAUUAUUAAAAUCUUUGG